UUGCUUUUCCUUUUUCUUUUUUUCUUUUCCUUUUUGACAGAGAAUCCUUCCUUGGCGAUAAGCAGAGGCAGUUGCUGGUUCAGACAGAGGGAGAGGGCUGUGGCGUCACGCGCCCCGCUGCUUAUCCUCACCACGGCUGCUGCCUCUGCUGGUUCGGGAGAGGGAGAGGGAGACAAGCGGGAAGAAGAGAAGUUUCGCUCGAGGAUGGACUUGCUUCCCUCCUGUUCCGGGAGGUAGCGGCCGAUGGCCAUUCACUUCAGUGGUCUUCAUGCCCUCAGAAAGGACACCAGCCAAAGCCUUUCUCUGAUCCCGUUGUAGCCUUCAUACAAAUAGAUCGAGGAUGGCCGGCGGCGCCAGAGGAGAACGGAGGACUGCCUUGAGGCCGGAUCAGGUUAUUUUCAAGGUCGUGACUGGUACGACGUUCCUUCUAAUGGCGGUGACAGGCUUAGGCUACCUAGCGCUUUCGUGGUCGACCGUAGUCCUCCUGGGUGCCUUUGUCACCGUGCUGCAGAAGAAGGAUUUCUGGUCUAUCACAGUCAUUAGUAUGAUUCAGGCAGCCAGGUCAGUGAAUGUCCUAUAUUUCCGUAUCUUCAUAUCUGUUGUCUACAUAAUCAUUAAAUAUUCUACACAAGUGUUACAUAAUACUCCCUAGCUCCGCCACAUGUAAAAUAAUAUAUGGCGCGAACACAAUUCAUAAUUCAAACAUUGAAAAAAUAUUUUGACCUACAAUUCAUCUUGUGCAAUGAAAACUUUAUCUUACAGAAAAGAAUAUCAUUGGAUUUUUUUUAAAGUACUUUCAUAUGGCUAUAAUUUUGUCGCUACAAACAUUAUAUGAUGGGCGACUUAUAAUCUUAGUAUUGGAGGCCUCAAUUUAUAAUUUGCGAUAGAGGGAGCAAGCAAUGGUACAGUGUGAUGAACAAGUCUUCAAGAAUACUAUACAAUGCUUUAUUUCUCUUUUAUUAUGUUGAAGGAAAGCAAUACAAACUUCUAAAGCCUUCCUCAAAACUCAUGAUCCAUGAUAUUUUCCAUGAAGGUAUUAGAUAUUGUUGCCAUGAAGAAAUUAGAAUAGUGCAGAAUAUAGAUAUUUGUCUACUGAAAACUCUAGAAGGGGACAUAUGUCAUCAUCCUAUGAACUCCCUUGGCCUAUAAAUAGAGGUCCCUUCCUUGCCAUACCAUUCAACCAUGAGCAUAGUAGAUGAGUGGAGUAUGGUAGAUGUAAAGGGUGAGUGCAAGACUAGCCACUAAAGAGAGGGUGUUGUACACUCUUAUGUAAUAUUGUUGUGUUGUAAUAAAGUUUUGUUUCUUAUAAGUGUUAGUCUCCCGGUUGGGCCAUAUAGUUUCUAAGUACUUAGUGCAUAAGUUGUGAUCCAUCGAAGGUUAGCUUUGUCACCUGGGAUCACAAGGGUCUGGACUUCAUCAUAGGUUGGUUCUGCCACCCGGAAGCCAACUUCAUCUGUUGGUAGGCUAUGCCACACGGAAAUGAGAAGGCGGCUCUGCCAUCAAAAGGACUCGUCGCAUUAAGUAACUAGAAAUUAAAAGGGGCUGACCGACUUCAGAGUGAGUUGGUGUCCUAGGUGUAGGUCCUCAGAUUAGUGGGUAUUAGGGCCACCUCAAUUUACAACAAUUGGUAUUAGAGCUUGGUGGUCCGGGAUCAUCUGGAGGAGGCUCUCUAGUAAGCAUAGGGUGCUUGUUGUGUUUGGUGCAAUACCGAGGCGCUAAGUAGAGACUCUGCCGGUGCACAGUCUGGGAAUGUGAAGCUCAUUGGUCCGGGAAUAAGAAAGCUAACUUGACGCCGGACGUCAGUUACCAUGGCAGAUCUUGCUAGCACAAGUGGUGGAAUUAAGAAACUCAAUAGCCAUAACUAUUGCUAUUGGAAGACCUACAUGGAGUCAUACCUACAAGGUCAAGACCAAUGGGAGGUUGUUGCGGGUGCCGAAACAGUGCCUCCACCAAAGGAGAGUGGUGAUAGUUCUUCGAAGAAGGAGGGAGCCAAUGCCUUGUGGAAAUGGCGCAUCAAAGCUGGUAAGGCUAUGUUCAUGCUGAAGAAAACUAUUAAGGAGGACCUACUGGAGUACAUCUGAGAUGCGGAGACCCCAAAGGAAGGAGGAGACAAUUGGCUAUGUCUAUGACCCCAAAUGAAGCACACCUCCAACUCUUAGAAAAGGAGUUGUUAGGUAUCUCUCAAGGAACUUUGACUAUUAGUCAAUAUUUCACAAAAGUAAAAUCCAUCUAUCGAGAGAUAUCCGAGCUUGCACCAGAUGAGAAGGUUGGUGAGGCCCGUACGAGGAGUAUCAUCAUGAAUGGCCUUAGACCCGAAUAUCAAGGGUUUAUAGCCGCAGGAGUGGAUGGCCUACUCAAUCUUAAUUGGUGGAGCUAGAAAAUUUGUUGGCUAAUCAGGAGGAGUUGGCCAAGAUGAUGGGAGGCAUUACUGUGAAGGAAGAAGAGGAGGCUCUCUUCACAAGAAAAAAGAAGGGACCAUCUUGGGGCAAGGAAGGCCGAAACCAAGGUGGAUAGAAGGUGGAAAGCAUCACCCAAAGGAGAAAAGUAGCUCUUCAGGGGGAGCCCAUGGACGAGAAAACUAGCAACAACAACCAAGAAAGGAUGGAUGCUUCAAUUGUGGUAAGAAGGGUCACUUUGCUCGAGAAUACCGAUUUCCAAGGAGGCACUUUGAAGGGAAUAAGAAGAGUUUUGAAGGGAAUGUGGCCACCACCACAUGAGAGAAAAAGGAGGCAUACACUAGGGAAUAAGAGUGGGAUGUUGAAGCUAGGUUUUCUCAGGACGUUGAAGAAGAUGAGUUGGAGGAGGACAUGGAGGCACCUGCAUUUUGCAGCAACAACUGAUCCAACAGUUAACUACAAGGAGGAUUGGAUCAUCGAUUCUGGGUGCUCCAACCACAUGACGAGUGAUGACAAAAAGUUGGAGGGAAUAGCCGACUAAAAGGGAAGGAGAGUUGUGCUUAUGGCAGACAACUCAAGAUUAUCCAUCUCUCAUGUUGGGAAGGCGGUCAUUCCAAGGUAUGGUCCUCAACAACUCCAACUCGAUAAGGUUUAUCAUGUUCCUAGCUUGAAGAAGAAUCUGUUGUUAGUUCCUCAGUUGAUAGCAGAAGGAAAAUACGUGCUCUUUGGGUUAGGAGGUGUGGCAAUUUUUAGGAAAUUGAAGGUGAUUGGCACACCCAUCAUGGAAGGAAGGAGGAGACAAUCGGUCUCUGUCCUCUUCGCUGAAUCUACUUAUGUGGACAAAACUCGGAGGAAUGAGACUAGUGAUCUUUGGCAUGUGCAUCUUGGAUAUGUUAACUACAGUAAGAUGAAGGAGAUGAUCCAGAAGCAAGUACUAAAAGGGCUUCCUCAAGUGGACAUCCAGACAGACACGGUUUGUGCUGGUUGUCAGUACGGCAAGGCUCAUCAAUUGCCAUACAAGGAAUCGAAACAUUGGUCCAAGAUGCCAUUGGAGCUCAUACACUCGGAUGUUUUCGGCCUAGUCAAGCAAAUAUUUAUUGGAGGGAUGAGCUACAUGGUGACUUGCAUUGACGUCUUCUCAAGGUACGUUUGGGUUUACUUUAUGAAAGAGAAGUCUAAAGCUUUCACAAAGUUUAAGGAGUUUAAGGAGAAGAUAGAAGAUGAACUCAACAUGAAAAUUAAGUGCCUCUAAACUAAUAAUGGGAGAAAGUAUUUGUCAAAUGAGUUCACUGUCUAUCUUAAGGAGCACAAAAUAAGAAGGCAAUUAACUUGUCCUAAUACUCCACUACAAAAUGGAGUAACGGAGCGCAAGAAUCACCAUCUUGAGGAGACUUGUCGAAGUAUGCUCCAUGCCAAUAACGUACCUACAAGGUUCUAGGCUAAGUGUAUAAGGACAACAGUCUAUGUAAUUAAUAGGCUACCUCAACCCAAGAUGGGAUUCAAGUCACCACAUGAGUUGCUAUGGAAGGUGAAGCUGGUGGUCAGCCAUCUCAAAGUAUUUGGCUGUAUUUGCUAUGCAUUUGUGCCUGAUCACCUAAGGAGUUAGUUUGAGAAGAAAGCAAUUCGGUGCAUCUUUGUUGGCUAUGAUGAUGCACGGAAAGGUUGGAGGUGCUGCGAUCCAACCACAGGAAAGUGCCACACCUCAAGAAAUGUGGUAUUUGAUGAAACCUUAGCAUGGUGGUUACCUAAGAAUGUUGAGCUACUGGAAUCACAUGAUUUUGAGGAGGUUCCUGAAGAAAUCCAAGAAGAGAAGGAGCAGGCACCAACCCCAAGUGAAGAUAAAGAGGAUUCCCCAAACAAAGCCAAGAGCUCUUAGAAGACUGGUGUCCAUCAGAUGACCUCGGAGGACCUCUCCAGCGGCGGGUCAUCCCUGGGAAACUCCUCCCAUUGAGGCUUGGCUUUGACCCUCUGACCAGCUACCUUCUCGACCUCGGGGUCGACCGGGGCAAUAUCUGCAACUUCAGAGGUUGCUUCAUCACGUUGCGGCGCUAGAGUCAGCAUGACUUCCUUGAUGCGACCCUCCUUAUCGACUCCAGCCUCCGAGGGUGGGGACAUUUCCACGGUGCGACUGUUGGUCGCCUCGGUCUAGGCCGAGCAGCUAGUCAGCUACACACCACCGUCAUCGGACAGCACGGCGGUCCUGCAUCGCCGGCACAACAAGCAAUUCACACAAGUUAGUUGGCAACCAUGAUUGCAACUUGGACAGCAUAAGUAGGUGGCACUUAUAGGGUGCUCUUCUUCUUCACUCGGUACUGGGGCGCAAUGGUGGAGGCGGCGCUGAUGCAUCUUCACUGGGUGCGCCACGGAUCUUUGCCUUCAAUGCCUCCUUGACGCACGCUGCGUCAGCCGCGGUGGUCUCCUGGAGCUUCGACUUCUUUUUUUUCAUGACCAAGCUCGGUGUGUCAAACUCCUUGUCCGAAUCGCUAGCUGACCUAGCUGGGGCAACUGUGCUCAGGGCAGCCUUCUCUUUCUUCUUCCUGGCCAUCUUUCUCCUCUUCCCUCUCGGCUGCAGCACCUUGGAGAUGGCCUCUUUGCGCACGGUUUGCUGUGUCUAUCGCCCAAACAGCUCAGCACCUUGGGCCUGGCUGACCUCUUCCGUCACGCCCACAUCCGACCCAAUGGAGGAGUCAGUUUCCCACUAAAGGUCAGCGAGCGGUGCAACGGGCUCGUCGAUGGGCAGAUCUUGGGUUGUCUUGCAUCGACUCCUUCAGGUUGGAUGGCGGCCUCUUCAAUGAGUAAGCUUUGGGGUAGUUCCUGUCACUGAUUCGGCCCCCUUAGAACUUGGCCACCCUGUUGAUGAUCUCCGCCUUAGAUGCAAAUUUUUCCGAGAUGCAGAGUGCUUUGUCGAUAAUCUUCCCAAUGGUCAUGUAGUCGAUAUGCGGUGUAGGCAAAUGUGCUCCCUCAUCUUGAUUAAUCCCAAUUCAUAUACCUGCGCUAGGUUGGUGAAAGGUGAUGCUUCAGAUCGCGGAGUACCCGAGGAGGAGCGCGAGGAGGAGUUCGACCGUGAGCCCGAGCCCGAG
Setaria italica (foxtail millet) is the source of this 5476-nucleotide RNA transcript. RefSeq lists it as uncharacterized. NCBI's taxonomy places the organism in Eukaryota, Viridiplantae, Streptophyta, Magnoliopsida, Poales, Poaceae. The record is from RefSeq and is a predicted model, not a curated record. The transcript has 5 exons.